RNAcentral lists this ribosomal RNA (511 nucleotides) under uncultured bacterium. RNAcentral describes it as "bacterial SSU rRNA". It matches the Rfam family "Bacterial small subunit ribosomal RNA", at positions 17 to 518 of the family's 1533-position model. The record is from RNAcentral.
UCCUGGCUUAGGAUGAACGCUAGCUACAGGCUUAACACAUGCAAGUCGAGGGCAGCAUAUCGAAGCUUGCUUGAUAGAUGGCGACCGGCGCACGGGUGAGUAACGCGUAUCCAACCUUCCCAUCACUCAGGGAUAGCCCGCCGAAAGGCGAAUUAAUACCUGAUGGUCUCCUUCGCGGACAUCUAACGAGGAGUAAAGAUUUAUUGGUGAUGGAUGGGGAUGCGUCUGAUCAGGUAGUAGGCGGGGUAACGGCCCACCUAGCCGACGAUCAGUAGGGGUUCUGAGAGGAAGGUCCCCCACAUUGGAACUGAGACACGGUCCAAACUCCUACGGGAGGCAGCAGUGAGGAAUAUUGGUCAAGUGGACGGAAGUCUGAACCAGCCAAGUAGCCGUGCAGGAUGACGGCCCUAUGGGUUGUAAACUGCUUUUGUGCGGGAAUAAAGUUUGGGACGUGUCCCAUUUUGCAUGUACCGCACGAAUAAGGACCGGCUAAUUCCGUGCCAGCCGCGGC